CAGUCGCCGCGGGAAUACAGAGGGUGCGAGCGUUAAUCGGAUUUACUGGGCGUAAAGCGUGCGUAGGCGGCUUCUUAAGUCGGAUGUGAAAUCCCUGAGCUUAACUUAGGAAUUGCAUUCGAUACUGGGAAGCUAGAGUAUGGGAGAGGAUGGUAGAAUUCCAGGUGUAGCGGUGAAAUGCGUAGAGAUCUGGAGGAAUACCGAUGGCGAAGGCAGCCAUCUGGCCUAAUACUGACGCUGAGGUACGAAAGCAUGGGGAGCAAACAGGAUUAGAUACCCCUGUAGUCCUGUCUCUUAUACC
RNAcentral lists this ribosomal RNA (301 nucleotides) under uncultured bacterium. RNAcentral's name for it is "partial 16S ribosomal RNA". It matches the Rfam family "Bacterial small subunit ribosomal RNA", at positions 509 to 808 of the family's 1533-position model. The record is from RNAcentral.